AGGAGACAUAGUAGUGUAUGCUGGAUGACUAGUCUGUUGAUAUUGUUGAGAAGUAUUUGAAGCAUAUCCCAAUUCAGUACUAUGGUCGAUGUGUUGAAAAUUGUCGAAUGGGCUAUUGGCGGAGCGGUUUUCCACAGGAUUCAUAAAUCUAGAAGAAUAUGGAAGUGCAGUUGUCUCCCCAGCAUUUGAAGAUGCAGUUUCGUUGUUAAAAGCAGCUCCGGUAGACGGAGGAAUAAGACUAGCACCAGCAUAUGGUUGAGGGGAAAUUCCAUGUGUAGCAGGAGAAUAAAUACCGCCAUAUCCGGCACUUUGUUUACCAACCACCGGGCCACUUGUAGCACUUGUGGAUGCAGCGGGUAUAGUCGUUUGGGCUGAUACUUGAGGAGGGAUGGCCGAGACAGAAGAGGCGUUUCCACUGGCCGGUAAAUUUACAUCGUGUAAACCACGAUAUGGUGUCUCGUUAACAUGAGAUUCCUUCAAGUUUUCGGGAACCUUCGAUUGUGGAGCACGGCUUUCAUAUGCUGAAGUGUGUUGUUUCUUUGGGAUUUUGGUGGAUUCAGCAACUUUGCUCGCCUCUUUUUUUGCCUCUGGCUUUGGUGAAACUGUCUUUUUAGGAAAAUAGGAACUUCUUGGUCCAGACUGUGCUAUGUUGUCUGAAGAAGACUUUGUCGAUUUUUUGUCCUCACCCCCAAGUGUCAAGCUUCCGAAACGCACUUGAACCUUUUCGGGAAUAGCAGCAGUAUUAGCAACAGGCAUAACGACGGGGAAUCUAUCAGAAAGUAAUCGAGCAGUAGUCAUACUAGUUGUAGAGCUUUGAGAGCCAACAGCGGCUUGCUUCGCAAAGGAGGGCUUAGGUAGGGAAGCAGAAGAGAUGUUGGAAAGCCCAGGAGCGGGCUUGACUGCAUUUAUGGCAAAUGGGGCAGUACUCUUUUUGGGAGCUGAGGUAGCUGUGGAGGGGGUCGUUUCAACAUUUGCGGGAGUUGCAGAGUCCUGGGAUUUGUGAGGGAAAGGAACAGAUGAGGAUGACAGUUCAGCAGGUUUUUCGUAAGCAGCGGAAACAUUAGUUUUAGAGGGUUGAGAAGGAGCGAUAGAGGGUUUAGAAGGUUCGGAUUCGGGAGCGGGAGCGGGAGCGGGAGUGACCUUUUUCUUCGACUUUGCAACUGAAGCCCAAGCCUUCUUUAUAGGCUUUGAAGAUGCAACAGCCUGAUCAGCCGCACUGGUCGACUUUGCUGAGGCCGAAGUACCGCCUGCGGUGCCGUUCGUAUUUGUUGAAGCAGCGGUAUUAGCCGAUGUUAAAACUGAAGCUUGUUCAUUAGAUGUAGUAUGAUCUUUCAUUGAGGAAUCUUCAUUAAUAGUACCAGGAUCAACGGAAGAAGACACUGUCGUUGAUGCAGGAGCUUUGGUAGAAAUUUCUGAGGAAGGAAGAUCGCCAGUACCAGCAGGCUUUUCUAAAGAGGAUGGUGCAUGAACGGAAGAAGGAUCUGAGGGAGCUCCUGCUUUUGAUUUUCGAACCCCCCGAGAAGUAUCCUUAGAAGCGGAAGGUUUCUUUGAUUUACGUGUAGCAUUACGAAAGGUGGAAGAGACAUUAUCGGAAACUGGAGCAUGACUUGUUGGUUUGGACUUUGUUUUAGGGAUUGGCUUCUUUUUAACUUCACCCCAUUUGGAGGCGUGACCUUCAGUAAUAUGCAAUAUGGUCAGUUCCAAAUCCCGGUCCGCUUCUUCUAAAGCAAAACUUAAAUCAUCAAUCGUCCAGCUAGGAAACAGCUCUUGCAAUACGCUUAACUGCGAAUCACGAUCAAAUUCGAGCUCAAGCGCAUUUGAUCCCUCUAUAUUACUAGUCUGAGACGAAUUUGCCGGGCCAGAUUUUCCUUUGGUGCCUCGCCUUCCCUUCGCUCCUCUCUUGGCGGAAGAGGAUGAAGUUUUAUUAUCUUGCGAUAUAUUUAACGCUGUAUCUGUGUGUUGCUUUUCUGAAACUUGUUCGGUAUUUCCGACCUUCUUUGGCCGAAACUUUUUAUUCUCACUCAUUUUUGAUUCUACUUUUCUUUACAAAAAUUAAUACAGGUCUUGAAAAUCGACAAGGCACGUGUAUUCGUGCUUCAAGACGAUAUGCAAGAUUUUUCGUGUUAUUUAAGGGUAGUGGUUCUGGCUGCGUUUUGGUGUCGUGCAGCAUAGUGCUUUUGCUUAAAUGGAAAUUGCCUAUACC
RNAcentral lists this long non-coding RNA (2203 nucleotides) under Schizosaccharomyces pombe (fission yeast). The record is from RNAcentral. Lineage: Eukaryota; Fungi; Ascomycota; Schizosaccharomycetes; Schizosaccharomycetales; Schizosaccharomycetaceae.